Molecule: ribosomal RNA, 207 nt
Filed under: uncultured bacterium
Lineage: Bacteria
Description: partial 16S ribosomal RNA
Rfam family: Bacterial small subunit ribosomal RNA
Source: RNAcentral
UGCGUAGGUGGGCAGGUAAGUCAGUGGUGAAAUCUUUGGGCUUAACCCGAAAACUGCCAUUGAUACUAUUUGUCUUGAAUAUUGUGGAGGUCAGCGGAAUAUGUCAUGUAGCGGUGAAAUGCUUAGAUAUGACAUAGAACACCAAUUGCGAAGGCAGCUGGCUACACAUAUAUUGACACUGAUGCACGAAAGCGUGGGGAUCAAACA